Small nucleolar RNA from Rosa rugosa (rugosa rose), 144 nucleotides. RefSeq annotates it as small nucleolar RNA snoR74. The transcript has a single exon. The record is from RefSeq and is a predicted model, not a curated record. NCBI's taxonomy places the organism in Eukaryota, Viridiplantae, Streptophyta, Magnoliopsida, Rosales, Rosaceae.
AUAAAAGCAGGGUCCUGUUGCCUUGUAUGUGAAUUGGUCUCUCGUAAACGUCAGGGAAAUGAAAUAAAUUGCAACAUUAUUGGGUGAACCUCUGUUUGUUCUUUGUGAAUGGUGGCUCAAGGUUCAGUAAAUGAUGCAACAUUU